Molecule: ribosomal RNA, 492 nt
Filed under: uncultured bacterium
Lineage: Bacteria
Description: partial 16S ribosomal RNA
Rfam family: Bacterial small subunit ribosomal RNA
Source: RNAcentral
AGUGAACGCUGGCGGUAGGCCUAACACAUGCAAGUCGAACGGCAGCACAGUAAGAGCUUGCUCUUACGGGUGGCGAGUGGCGGACGGGUGAGGAAUACAUCGGAAUCUACUUUUUCGUGGGGGAUAACGUAGGGAAACUUACGCUAAUACCGCAUACGACCUACGGGUGAAAGCAGGGGAUCUUCGGACCUUGCGCGAUUGAAUGAGCCGAUGUCGGAUUAGCUAGUUGGCGGGGUAAAGGCCCACCAAGGCGACGAUCCGUAGCUGGUCUGAGAGGAUGAUCAGCCACACUGGAAGUUAGAUACGGUCCAGACUCUUGCGGGAGGCAGCAGUUGGGAAUAUUGGACAAUGUGCGCAAGCCUGAUCCAGCAAGACCGCGUGGGUGAAGCAGGGUUUCGGGUUGUAAAGGGCUUUUGUUGGGAAAGAAAAGCAGCACGUGAAGACUGAGCUGGUCGGACGGUACCGAAUGAAGAAGCACCGGCUAACGUCGUG